Juglans microcarpa x Juglans regia is the source of this 147-nucleotide long non-coding RNA. RefSeq lists it as uncharacterized. The transcript has 4 exons. NCBI's taxonomy places the organism in Eukaryota, Viridiplantae, Streptophyta, Magnoliopsida, Fagales, Juglandaceae. The record is from RefSeq and is a predicted model, not a curated record.
CUUGAAAUUCGAAGUUUUGUUUGACUAAGAAUGCUUGAAAGAGUAAUGCUACUCAUCAUCUCAAUUUCUAUCAUCCUUCCAUCAUUCUAUGAUGUGGCAUUAGGUGAUUAAAAAUUAUUUAUUAUAUUUCACUUAUAAACCUAUCAU